CCUGGAUUUCGAUGCUUGCAGCGGCGACGACGAAUUGCCGGAAUGAGGGUCUGGCCGGAGGAGAUCAUUGGGUCGGGUGGAGUAGUUUUGAGGUUGGACUUGGACGCCAUGAACGGAAUGAGGUAGAGGCUCAAAGCAAAAGCAGAAAGAGAAAAGCGAGAACAUGGGAGAAAACGAACAUGGGUUGGUUGAGAAUUUCGGAAACCAUAAU
This 211-nucleotide long non-coding RNA is filed under the name Glycine max (soybean). RNAcentral's name for it is "long non-coding RNA (GMAX_LNC003379)". Lineage: Eukaryota; Viridiplantae; Streptophyta; Magnoliopsida; Fabales; Fabaceae. The record is from RNAcentral.